CCUACGGGAGGCAGCAGUGAGGAAUCUUGGUCAAUGGACGCAAGUCUGAACCAGCCAUGCCGCGUGCAGGAAGACGGCUCUAUGAGUGGUAAACUGCUUUUGUACGAGGGUAAACGCAGAUACGCGUAUCUGUCUGAAAGUAUCGUACGAAUAAGGAUCGGCUAACUCCGUGCCAGCAGCCGCGGUAAUACGGAGGAUUCAAGCGUUAUCCGGAUUUAUUGGGUUUAAAGGGUGCGUAGGCGGUCGGAUAAGUUAGAGGUGAAAUCCCGAGGCUCAACUUCGGAAUUGCCUAGGAUACUGUUCGGCUAGAGAGUAGUUGAGGUAGGCGGAAUGUAUGGUGUAGCGGUGAAAUGCUUAGAGAUCAUACAGAACACCGAGUGCGAAGGCAGCUUACCAAGCUACUUCUGACGUUGAGGCACGAAAGCGUGGGGAGCAAACAGGAUUAGAUACCCCGGUAGUC
This 460-nucleotide ribosomal RNA is filed under the name uncultured bacterium. RNAcentral describes it as "partial 16S ribosomal RNA". It matches the Rfam family "Bacterial small subunit ribosomal RNA", at positions 338 to 795 of the family's 1533-position model. The record is from RNAcentral.